This 799-nucleotide ribosomal RNA is filed under the name uncultured Mycobacterium sp. Its description in RNAcentral is "bacterial SSU rRNA". It matches the Rfam family "Bacterial small subunit ribosomal RNA", at positions 553 to 1350 of the family's 1533-position model. Lineage: Bacteria; Bacillati; Actinomycetota; Actinomycetes; Mycobacteriales; Mycobacteriaceae. The record is from RNAcentral.
ACUGGGCGUAAAGAGCUCGUAGGUGGUUUGUCGCGUUGUUCGUGAAAUCUCACGGCUUAACUGUGAGCGUGCGGGCGAUACGGGCAGACUUGAGUACUGCAGGGGAGACUGGAAUUCCUGGUGUAGCGGUGGAAUGCGCAGAUAUCAGGAGGAACACCGGUGGCGAAGGCGGGUCUCUGGGCAGUAACUGACGCUGAGGAGCGAAAGCGUGGGGAGCGAACAGGAUUAGAUACCCUGGUAGUCCACGCCGUAAACGGUGGGUACUANGUGUGGGUUUCCUUCCUUGGGAUCCGUGCCGUAGCUAACGCAUUAAGUACCCCGCCUGGGGAGUACGGCCGCAAGGCUAAAACUCAAAGAAAUUGACGGGGGCCCGCACAAGCGGCGGAGCAUGUGGAUUAAUUCGAUGCAACGCGAAGAACCUUACCUGGGUUUGACAUGCACAGGACGCCGGCAGAGAUGUCGGUUCCCUUGUGGCCUGUGUGCAGGUGGUGCAUGGCUGUCGUCAGCUCGUGUCGUGAGAUGUUGGGUUAAGUCCCGCAACGAGCGCAACCCUUGUCUCAUGUUGCCAGCGGGUAAUGCCGGGGACUCGUGAGAGACUGCCGGGGUCAACUCGGAGGAAGGUGGGGAUGACGUCAAGUCAUCAUGCCCCUUAUGUCCAGGGCUUCACACAUGCUACAAUGGCCGGUACAAAGGGCUGCGAUGCCGCGAGGUUAAGCGAAUCCUUUUAAAGCCGGUCUCAGUUCGGAUCGGGGUCUGCAACUCGACCCCGUGAAGUCGGAGUCGCUAGUAAUCGCAGAUC